This 204-nucleotide ribosomal RNA is filed under the name uncultured bacterium. Its description in RNAcentral is "partial 16S ribosomal RNA". It matches the Rfam family "Bacterial small subunit ribosomal RNA", at positions 524 to 725 of the family's 1533-position model. The record is from RNAcentral.
GACAGAGGGUGCAAACGUUGCUCGGAAUCACUGGGCGUAAAGGGCGCGUAGGCGGGAAUGUAAGUCGGGCGUGAAAUCCCUAGGCUCAACCUAGGAACUGCACUCGAAACUGCGUUUCUUGAGUAUCGGAGAGGAAAGCGGAAUUCCUGGUGUAGAGGUGAAAUUCGUAGAUAUCGAGGAGGAACACCAGUGGCGAAGGGCGGC